Molecule: ribosomal RNA, 462 nt
Filed under: uncultured bacterium
Lineage: Bacteria
Description: partial 16S ribosomal RNA
Rfam family: Bacterial small subunit ribosomal RNA
Source: RNAcentral
GACGAACGCUGGCGGCGUGCUUAACACAUGCAAGUCGAACGGUAAGGCCUUUCGGGUUACACGAGUGGCUAACGGGUGAGUGACACGUUGGUGAUCUGCCCUGCACUUCGGGAUAAGCCCGGGAAACUGGGUCUAAUACCGUAUAGGACUGCACGGUGCAUGCCGGGUGGUGGAAAGAUUGAUCGGUGCAGGAUGGGCCCGCGGCCUAUCAGCUUGUUGGUGGGGUAAUGGCCUACCAAGGCGACGACGGGUAGCCGGCCUGAGAGUGCGACCGGCGACAAUGGGACUGAGACACGCAGCAGAAUCCUACCGGAGGCAGCAGUGGGGAACAUUGCAGAAUGGGGGCAAGCCUGAUGCAGCGACGCCGCGUGCGGGAUGACGGCCUUCGGGUUGUAAACAUCUUUCAGCAGGGACGAAGCGUGAGUGACGGUACCUGAAGAAGAAGCACCGGCUAACUACGUG